CCUACGGGGGGCGGCAGUGGGGAAUAUUGGACAAUGGGCGAAAGCCUGAUCCAGCCAUGCCGCGUGUGUGAAGAAGGCCUUCGGGUUGUAAAGCACUUUCAGUGGGGAAGAAAGCCUUGGGGCUAAUACCCUCGAGGAAGGACAUCACCCACAGAAGAAGCACCGGCUAACUCCGUGCCAGCAGCCGCGGUAAUACGGAGGGUGCGAGCGUUAAUCGGAAUUACUGGGCGUAAAGCGCGCGUAGGCGGUCUGAUAAGCCGGUUGUGAAAGCCCCGGGCUCAACCUGGGAACGGCAUCCGGAACUGUCAGGCUAGAGUGCAGGAGAGGAAGGUAGAAUUCCCGGUGUAGCGGUGAAAUGCGUAGAGAUCGGGAGGAAUACCAGUGGCGAAGGCGGCCUUCUGGACUGACACUGACGCUGAGGUGCGAAAGCGUGGGUAGCAAACAGGAUUAGAUACCCCAGUAGUC
Molecule: ribosomal RNA, 465 nt
Filed under: Vreelandella stevensii
Lineage: Bacteria; Pseudomonadati; Pseudomonadota; Gammaproteobacteria; Oceanospirillales; Halomonadaceae
Description: partial 16S ribosomal RNA
Rfam family: Bacterial small subunit ribosomal RNA
Source: RNAcentral